UACGUAGGGUGCAAGCGUUGUCCGGAAUUAUUGGGCGUAAAGAGCUCGUAGGCGGUUUGUCGCGUCGAAUGUGAAAACCCGGGGCUCAACCCCGAGCCUGCAGUCGAUACGGGCAGACUAGAGUGCGGUAGGGGAGACUGGAAUUCCUGGUGUAGCGGUGAAAUGCGCAGAUAUCAGGAGGAACACCGGUGGCGAAGGCGGGUCUCUGGGCCGUAACUGACGCCGAGGAGCGAAAGCGUGGGGAGCAAACAGG
Molecule: ribosomal RNA, 253 nt
Filed under: uncultured bacterium
Lineage: Bacteria
Description: partial 16S ribosomal RNA
Rfam family: Bacterial small subunit ribosomal RNA
Source: RNAcentral